GGAAAUCUGCCCUGCACUCUGGGACAAGCCUUGGAAACGAGGUCUAAUACCGGAUAUGACUGCUGACCGCAUGGUCGGUGGUGGAAAGCUCCGGCGGUGCAGGAUGAUCCCGCGGCCUAUCAGCUUGUUGGUGGGGUAAUGGCCUACCAAGGCGACGACGGGUAGCCGGCCUGAGAGGGCGACCGGCCACACUGGGACUGAGACACGGCCCAGACUCCUACGGGAGGCAGCAGUGGGGAAUAUUGCACAAUGGGCGAAAGCCUGAUGCAGCGACGCCGCGUGAGGGAUGAAGGCCUUCGGGUUGUAAACCUCUUUCAGCAGGGAAGAAGCGAGAGUGACGGUACCUGCAGAAGAAGCGCCGGCUAACUACGUGCCAGCAGCCGCGGUAAUACGUAGGGCGCAAGCGUUGUCCGGAAUUAUUGGGCGUAAAGAGCUCGUAGGCGGCUUGUCGCGUCGGAUGUGAAAGCCCGGGGCUUAACCCCGGGUCUGC
RNAcentral lists this ribosomal RNA (490 nucleotides) under Streptomyces sp. RNAcentral's name for it is "bacterial SSU rRNA". It matches the Rfam family "Bacterial small subunit ribosomal RNA", at positions 120 to 624 of the family's 1533-position model. The record is from RNAcentral. Lineage: Bacteria; Bacillati; Actinomycetota; Actinomycetes; Kitasatosporales; Streptomycetaceae.